Molecule: RNA transcript, 1407 nt
Organism: Syngnathoides biaculeatus (alligator pipefish)
Lineage: Eukaryota; Metazoa; Chordata; Actinopteri; Syngnathiformes; Syngnathidae
Gene name: ADP-ribosylation factor-like protein 3
Exons: 6
Source: RefSeq, a predicted model, not a curated record
UUCCUUUUUUUUUUUCUCAUUCAUUUAUAACUUUUCGCUAAUCUUUUUGCUGCUGUUCUCCUGACGUCACGACUGACGUUCCACAUGGUCGAAGCGAUGUUAAUCCAGUCAGCCGGACCUGGACUCAGCGAUUCGCCGGACGACAUCAUGGGCCUGCUGUCCGCCCUGCGGCGACUGAAGCACCCCCAAGACCAGGAGGUCCGCUUGCUGCUGCUGGGUUUGGACAACGCCGGCAAGACCACGCUGCUCAAGCAGCUGGCCGCCGAGGACAUGGGCCACGUCACGCCCACGCAACAGGGCUUCAACAUCAAGAGCGUCCAAUCGUCUGGCUUCAAGUUGAACAUGUGGGACAUCGGGGGGCAGCGGAAGAUUCGCCCCUACUGGAAGAAUUACUUUGAGAACACCCACGUGCUGAUCUACGUGAUUGACUGCUCGGACAAAAAGCGGUUUGAAGAGACGAGUCUGCCUCUUGCCAAAUGUCAUCUCGGACUGACAAAGACUCGGAGCCAUCUUGUCGCGCGGACGUUUGCCCCAACCGCACGGCUUUCGCGCAGGAGCUGGCCGAGCUGCUGGAGGAGGACGACCUGGCGGGCGUGCCGCUGCUGGUCUUCGCCAACAAGCAGGACCUGAGCGCCGCCAUGUCGGCCUCCGAGCUGGCCGAGGGCCUCGACCUGCACACGGUCCGAGAUCGCAUGUGGCAAGUCCAGGCCUGCUCGGCCGUCACCGCGGAGGGACUGCAGGAUGGCAUGAGCUGGGUGUGCAGGAAUAUCCGCUUUUGCAAGAAAUGAAGAUCGGACGGAUCUCGCCAAACCGAUCUUGACCCGUCAGAUCAGGGGUGUCAAACUCAUAUUUGUCCCGUUCCACACUGUACUCGCGGUUUCCCCUCCAAGCGCCCGUUAUGCCUGUGAAACGCUAAAAAAAAAAUUAACCGCCUCAUCAUAUUUACACAUGAAAUAUAUGAACUAGUUUUGGAAUCACAAAUCAAGGGUAAGGGUAAUUUUUUUCCUACUGUUGUUGUUUAGUAACAUGAAAAUGCUAGUAAUUUCUCAACGCCAUAAUUUAUGAUAGGACAAUUUGAAAUUUUGGUACAGAUUUGAACAAAAAAAAAAAAUCAUGGAAGUUGAUACACAUGAUUUUGCCUCUAUGGGCCACGGCGGGCCGGAUCUGGCCCCCGGGCCUCGAGUUUGACACCACCGUGAGAUCAAAAAUAACUGGCAUAUUUUGUCUAUCACUCAAUGUGUUAAACGAAAUUUGUUCACUUUAUAGAAACUUCAGAAUGCGAAAUGAAUGUACUGUAUAUAAUGUAAAUAUGAACGCGGUGUUACUAAAGCAAAAUGAAUGGCAACUGCGUGGUGUAAUGUUCCAAAUUAAACGCCAGAGGGAAACCUUUCACCGUUUCAUGUUAAA